RNAcentral lists this ribosomal RNA (47 nucleotides) under Rubus maximiformis. Its description in RNAcentral is "partial 26S ribosomal RNA". Lineage: Eukaryota; Viridiplantae; Streptophyta; Magnoliopsida; Rosales; Rosaceae. The record is from RNAcentral.
CGACCCCAGUCAGCGGGGUUACCGCUGAAUUUAAGCAUAUCAAUAAG